CGGGGGUACACGAGUGGCGAACGGGUGAGUAACACGUGGGUGACCUGCCCUGCACUUCGGGAUAAGCCUGGGAAACUGGGUCUAAUACCGGAUAGGACCGCACCGUGAGGGUGUGGUGGAAAGUUUUUUCGGUGUGGGAUGGGCCCGCGGCCUAUCAGCUUGUUGGUGGGGUAAUGGCCUACCAAGGCGGCGACGGGUAGCCGGCCUGAGAGGGUGGACGGCCACAUUGGGACUGAGACACGGCCCAGACUCCUACGGGAGGCAGCAGUGGGGAAUAUUGCACAAUGGGCGGAAGCCUGAUGCAGCGACGCCGCGUGGGGGAUGACGGCCUUCGGGUUGUAAACUCCUUUCACCAUCGACGAAGGGUUUCUGACGGUAGAUGGAGAAGAAGCACCGGCUAACUACGUGCCAGCAGCCGCGGUAAUACGUAGGGUGCGAGCGUUGUCCGGAAUUACUGGGCGUAAAGAGCUCGUAGGUGGUUUGUCGCGUCGUCUGUGAAAUUCCGGGGCUUAACUCCGGGCGUGCAGGCGAUACGGGCAUAACUUGAGUACUGUAGGGGAGACUGGAAUUCCUGGUGUAGCGGUGAAAUGCGCAGAUAUCAGGAGGAACACCGGUGGCGAAGGCGGGUCUCUGGGCAGUAACUGACGCUGAGGAGCGAAAGCAUGGGGAGCGAACAGGAUUAGAUACCCUGGUAGUCCAUGCCGUAAACGGUGGGCGCUAGGUGUGGGUUUCCUUCCACGGGAUCCGUGCCGUAGCUAACGCAUUA
RNAcentral lists this ribosomal RNA (766 nucleotides) under uncultured bacterium. Its description in RNAcentral is "bacterial SSU rRNA". It matches the Rfam family "Bacterial small subunit ribosomal RNA", at positions 82 to 862 of the family's 1533-position model. The record is from RNAcentral.